CACGAUCGGGACUCUGUAUUCCUCUCCUAUAGGCGCGUCGUCUUCAUCCAGUUUCCUCCAAUAUGGAUCAAGCUAGAUUAAUAAGCGCAUGACGCGAUAAUUUUUUUUCCGAUAUCAUUCCCGUGGUCUCUCGUGAGGCGCUCGGUCUGCGUGUACGAGUCUGCGGCCAGACCACACCGGGUCGUGUUGUGAACCUUAUCGCCCGUGUCGUUGUGACGAUGUCGCGCGAAAUUCCAUCUCAGUGCAAUGGGCUCCCGACUUGGGAUCUGCUCGAGUCUCCUCAAGAAUCCUACCGACCGCGCGACAAGUCUCGGGAGGCCCCUCUGCUCUUAUUUGAUAAGACAGACUUUCAGCACUUCGCUCGGAUCACCUACGACUUACCUGACGAUAUUCAGUUGAAAGCAUCGGUUAACGACUUUCGCGUUAACGAUAAAAACUGUCACUACGACUGGUCCAAUUGGUACGGACAUAUCAACACAAGUGUAUCCGCGGAAUUAUAUCCACAGGCAAAACUGGCCAAGACAAACCAGCGGCAACUGUUCCGCAAGGAUAUGUCCGAAGAAAGCGCCGAUCCCUUUAGCAGCGAAACGAUCGAACGGAACAUUGCGGAAUACUUAGAGAAAGAAGUGUGUUUCGAUGAUAACGAUGAAAUACCGGUCUACAACGACUCGGCGAACCACAUGGAAGUGGAGGAGUCCCACUUUGUAGAAAAGGAUAUCGUGCAGGAGGAUCCCGUGGCAGAUUCCCCAGAGAAAGAUUCUUCAGAGGAAGAUGCCACAGAUGAGGAGGUACUGGAGAUACUGGACAGGCAGCCAAAGAGCUAUGAGCAAGUGAAGGAGGGUCUUCGAUCACUUGUUCCGAAACGUCCGACGACAAUGAGGGUCAACUCCGGCCACUACGCGGGCUUUAAACUGCUCUUCUCUCUGGUAGUUUCAUUAUGCGUAAUCCUCAUUUCUUUCAUGGCUCGGGAACAGAGUUAUCAGCACAGUACCCUUUUCGCAAACGUCACGGUCGAGCUGAAGAAACGAGUGUACGGUCAGGACCGAGCCAUGCAAGCUGUGGGGGAUUACCUUCGGCUGGACGAGCCCACUUUGAAGAUAAUCGCUCUCGUGGGCGGCACAGGCGUCGGCAAAUCUUACACGGUCUCGAUCGUAGAGAGUAAUUUCCCGAAAUACUCUGUCCGCCGAUAUUUCUCGCCGAUCAGCAUGACCAUGAACAACGUCAGCUUUUCGUUCUUGUACCCGAAACUAAUUGUCUUAGAGAAUCUGAAAGAGCACGACUUGCCGGACGUUGUGAAUUUCUUGAAGACGCGCGAGCAAGUGGACGUCAAUCAGUACAUCACCGUGUUGGCUGUGUUCAACGUCGAGCACAUGGACAACGAUUCAAUACGUACGAUAGAUCUCGAUCGGAGCACGGAGGCGAUAAGGAAUUCCUUCGCCGGCGAAAAUCUCGACGUCAAAGUCAUCGUUUACGAGCCUUUGAGUGAAGAUGUUCUCGAGAAGUGCAUCGCCGACGCGGCGCGUGAUAGCAAAGUGACGCUUUCCAACGGAGAUGUUGAGUUCCUCAAGAAACACUUGGCGAUUAAUAACGCUGGUUGCAAAGGAGCCUACAGGAAGGUUCAGGUUAUCGGUAGAAAAUAAAAGGGAUGAUCUUGGGCGCGAGUCGUUUGAAGGCGCGAAAAUAUUAAAAUAUUAUAUAUUAAAGAACGACUACGACUGACGCGAGAAUACUUUUUUCACAACGUCGCGAAAAUAUCCAUAUAUAUGUAACUUUUAUCGUUCACACAUAUUGUUAUUCUUUUUUCAACAUAUUCCGACGACAUUGAGACUACGAAUAGUUCCUAUCGCGAGCGAGCGCGUAUAUGAUCUCCUCCAGGGCGCGUGAAUGAUCUCCUCUUCGAGGCAUGUUUCCGCACGCCCAUUUGAUCAGUUCGCCGCUCGGAUUUGCUGAUUUCUGAUUCGAGGAAUAAUUUCCCGAUAAUUAACGUCGCGAGAAUGGGACGUGCCAGCGGCCGCUGAUUCAAUUUCGCGGUGAAAGCACAGAACUCUCGCACACGUAAGUGUCACGGUAUGUUAGUAAGAAGCGCGCAAUGAAAUUUCUACGCGCGUCGCAUCGCUUCCGGAUCAUCGCAGGGCGGACGUGCCUCUCGGUACGAUUCUCCGCAGGAGAUAAUGAUCACGGGGUGCGUUCGGCGCGUAUCCGGCGAAACCCGGUAAUCGGCGUGAUGCGAUCACGCGCGGUUAGACGAAGUCGACGUUGAUUGGGACUCCUGGAUUAGGAAAUGUAACAUUCAGAAAAGCUAGGAAAACUCUGUCCUCAUCCACCUGUGCAAUCGUGCUUGGAACCGAUGGCGACGAUGCGAGUGACUGCGGUGCGUUGCGUUGCGUGUGGUUAGCUUCAUAAUGACACGUGAUCGAAGCGUAAGCGUUACAACCGUCGUGUUACGUUGUUAUCCGGCGAUCGUUCUUACGCAAGGAAGAAGAACCGUUCAAUCGUGUAGUUUUUUAUCUUCCCUCUUCGUAAUAAUCACAAUAAGUGAUUGGAACGAAUAAGUUUAACUUGCGAAGUCCACCUUUCGGAGAUCGGACGAGCGAGCAGUCGAGAGAAUUAUAUUAUAUUUUUAAGAUAUACGACGUAUAUUCACAUAUAUUUUCUACAUGCAUAUGUGUAUUCUUCAUACACACAUGUAUUUAAAAAUAGGUAUUUAAAAAUAUUUGAGACGUGAAAAUAUAAUUCUUUAAUCGUGGAUCGGCGAAAGUGGACUCAAGAAGCGAAAGAUGUGAAAUCGGUUAAGCGACGCAUUGACUGAUCAUCUGAUUGUUAUAGAUCUAAAGAAGAUCCAAGUGCCAAAAAUGCGAUUAACUCAAAGUUAAUGUUUUGUUCGUACUCGAAGUGCCGUGAACAUUGGUUAAAUUUCUGCGUGAUAUAACGAGCUUCCGAGUUCCGAUUUCUUGAAAACCACGUUGCUCAAUUUUGCUCUUUCUUUAAGUUGUAAGUGAUACAUCGUAAUUAACGGAACAAAGACGCCCUACCUAUAGUUUUAUAUAUUCGUAAAUCUUUUCAAUAAAAUUUUUUUUAUAUUGAGACGUAAA
Molecule: unclassified non-coding RNA, 3092 nt
Filed under: Harpegnathos saltator (Jerdon's jumping ant)
Lineage: Eukaryota; Metazoa; Arthropoda; Insecta; Hymenoptera; Formicidae
Description: uncharacterized LOC105186915, transcript variant X1
Source: RNAcentral